RNAcentral lists this ribosomal RNA (404 nucleotides) under uncultured bacterium. Its description in RNAcentral is "bacterial SSU rRNA". It matches the Rfam family "Bacterial small subunit ribosomal RNA", at positions 355 to 776 of the family's 1533-position model. RNAcentral also lists the same sequence under 1 other name. The record is from RNAcentral.
UGGGGAAUAUUGCACAAUGGGGGAAACCCUGAUGCAGCGACGCCGCGUGGAGGAAGAAGGUCUUCGGAUUGUAAACUCCUGUUGUCGGGGACGAUAAUGACGGUACCCGACAAGAAAGUGACGGCUAACUACGUGCCAGCAGCCGCGGUAAAACGUAGGUCACAAGCGUUGUCCGGAAUUACUGGGUGUAAAGGGAGCGCAGGCGGGGAUGCAAGUUGGAAGUGAAAUCUACGGGCUCAACUCGUAAACUGCUUUCAAAACUGCAUCUCUUGAGUAGUGCAGAGGUAGGCGGAAUUCCCGGUGUAGCGGUGGAAUGCGUAGAUAUCGGGAGGAACACCAGUGGCGAAGGCGGCCUACUGGGCACCAACUGACGCUGAGGCUCGAAAGUAUGGGUAGCAAACAGG